This 73-nucleotide transfer RNA is filed under the name Danio rerio (zebrafish). RNAcentral describes it as "tRNA-Lys (TTT) (tRNA-Lys-TTT-130-1)". It matches the Rfam family "tRNA". From Rfam's summary of the family: Transfer RNA (tRNA) molecules are approximately 80 nucleotides in length. Their secondary structure includes four short double-helical elements and three loops (D, anti-codon, and T loops). The record is from Rfam by way of RNAcentral. Lineage: Eukaryota; Metazoa; Chordata; Actinopteri; Cypriniformes; Danionidae.
GCCCGGAUAGCUCAGUUGGAAGAGCAUCAGACUUUUAAUCUGAGGGUUCAGGGUUCAAGUCCCUGUUCAGGCG